RNAcentral lists this ribosomal RNA (392 nucleotides) under uncultured bacterium. RNAcentral describes it as "bacterial SSU rRNA". It matches the Rfam family "Bacterial small subunit ribosomal RNA", at positions 335 to 719 of the family's 1533-position model. The record is from RNAcentral.
ACUCCUACGGGAGGCAGCAUUGGGGAAUAUUGCACAAUGGGGGAAACCCUGAUGCAGCCAUGCCGCGUGUGUGAAGAAGGCCUUGGGUUGUAAAGCACUUUCAGUAGGGAGGAAGGUAGUGUAGUUAACACCUGCAUUAUUUGUACGUUACCUACAGAAGAAGCACCGGCUAACUCCGUGCCAGCAGCCGCGGUAAUACGGAGGGUGCGAGCGUUAAUCGGAAUUACUGGGCGUAAAGCGCAUGCAGGCGGCCUGUUAAGUCAGAUGUGAAAGCCCGGGGCUUAACCUCGGAAUUGCAUUUGAAACUGGCAGGCUAGAGUCUUGUAGAGGGGGUUAGAAUUUCAGGUGUAGCGGUGAAAUGCGUAGAGAUCUGAAGGAAUACCAGUGGCGAA